AGCGACAGGCCUAACACAUGCAAGUCGAGGGGCAGCACAAGGAGCAAUCUGAGGUGGCGACCGGCGCACGGGUGAGUAACACGUAUGCAACCUGCCUGUAAGCGGGGAAUAACCCGUUGAAAGACGGACUAAUACCGCAUAAUACUAAAUUACUGCAUGGUAAUUUAUUUAAACAUUUAUGGCUUACAGAUGGGCAUGCGCAUGAUUAGCUAGUUGGAGAGGUAACGGCUCCCCAAGGCAACGAUCAUUAGGGGUUCUGAGAGGAAGGUCCCCCCACACUGGUACUGAGACACGGACCAGACUCCUACGGGAGGCAGCAGUGAGGAAUAUUGGUCAAUGGACGAGAGUCUGAACCAGCCAAGUCGCGUGCAGGAAGAAUUGUCCUAUGGAUUGUAAACUGCUUUUGCAGGGGAAUAAAGUGCAUCACGUGUGAUGUUUUGUAUGUACUCUGCGAAUAAGGAUCGGCUAACUCCGUGCCAGCCGCGGC
This 487-nucleotide ribosomal RNA is filed under the name uncultured bacterium. RNAcentral's name for it is "bacterial SSU rRNA". It matches the Rfam family "Bacterial small subunit ribosomal RNA", at positions 39 to 518 of the family's 1533-position model. The record is from RNAcentral.